RNAcentral lists this ribosomal RNA (479 nucleotides) under uncultured bacterium. RNAcentral describes it as "bacterial SSU rRNA". It matches the Rfam family "Bacterial small subunit ribosomal RNA", at positions 335 to 807 of the family's 1533-position model. The record is from RNAcentral.
ACUCCUACGGGAGGCAGCAGUGGGGAAUAUUGCAGCAAUGGGCGCAAGCCUGAUGCAGCCAUGCCGCGUGUAUGAAGGUAGGGCCUUCGGGUUGUAAAGUACCUUUCAGUUGUGAGGAAAGGUUAGUCGCUAAUAUCGGCUAGCUGUUGACGUUAGCAACAGAAGAAGCACCGGCUAACUCCGUGCCAGCAGCCGCGGUAAUACGGAGGGUGCGAGCGUUAAUCGGAAUUACUGGGCGUAAAGCGCGUGUAGGUGGCUUGUUAAGUCAGAUGUGAAAGCCCGGGGCUCAACCUCGGAACUGCAUUUGAAACUGGCAGACUAGAGUACUGUAGAGGGGGGUAGAAUUUCAGGUGUAGCGGUGAAAUGCGUAGAGAUCUGAAGGAAUACCGGUGGCGAAGGCGGCCCCCUGGACAGAUACUGACACUCAGAUGCGAAAGCGUGGGGAGCAAACAGGAUUAGAUACCCUGUAGGUGACAAAU